Long non-coding RNA from Oncorhynchus kisutch (coho salmon), 1620 nucleotides. The record is from Ensembl. NCBI's taxonomy places the organism in Eukaryota, Metazoa, Chordata, Actinopteri, Salmoniformes, Salmonidae.
CAGAAUGAGACAUAUUCCCAUGACAACUGGCAAUACAAACACCAUGCUAAUUCUUAUCAUUAAGGGAUGAGGGUAAUGUAGAGCAGCCACUCUCACACACCGUGUGAUAAAGGAGAAGUCACAAUGUGUCUCAAAUAGAAUACAUUGACCUUACAGGAGGUAUUGUAUUACAGAUGAUCUGGCAUACAAACUAAGGGUACUGUCCAUUCACAUCAGCCAAAUGAAUCCAUAAAGAGUCCUCUGUGUGUCUCAUGAGCUCUUCUCCUACAUAAUAUGAUAAGCCUAAUUGAAUUACAGCCUUUGUAAUCAUACAGGUUACAGUAUGUAUUACAGUAAAUAUGGUUGAAAGAGAAUAUCAGGGCAAAUUACCUGAGUGUCUUUACCUUAACUCAAUUGAUUGUGCGUCCUCGCUCUCUCAUUGCAUUAGGUUCCCCCUAUCGACAGGACAGGAUGGCACUUCUCGAUUACCCUAUUCCAGAGCUAGAUGUCACCUUACAAGAGGCAAGCCGUGUGCUCCAGCUCACCCUGAGCCCCGAGCUCUACCCUCAAUUCAAAAAUACCCUUAGCCAACAGAGGGAGGUCCUGCAGGAGGCCCAAAAGUGCUUGGCGGCUGCUGCCUCUGGCCGAGAGAACUGGGUGACAGAGCAAUUCAAGAGCCGGCUGCUUUCAUGUACCGACCCCCUGCCCACCUCGACAGCCAUCCCCGCUGUCUUGCCCCCCUCCAGAGCCAGGAAGGAGUGUGCCCAACUGGAGAGGGCUGCUGCUCUGCUCUGGGCUGUGGCCAAGAUGUAUAGUGAGCCUUCGCUGGUAGAGGGUGAGGGGCAAACUGAGCGCACACAGCAAUCAGAGGUGUUUGCUGCCAGCCGCAUUCCUGGGAAGACCCAAGAUGAGAUUAAAGUAUACCAAGACUGCCUCCAUGCCAUCGUAAUCUGUGCUAGAGGGGUAUUUUCAGUCAACAUACUGCAGCAUCCCAGCCCAGGCGGGCCUAUGUCCCCUCUACCGUUCCCUGACAUCUACAGCCAAGUGGUUCAUGUGAUGAGCCAACAUAGAGCUGCCAAGAACAACAAGGCCUCUGCCAUCUGCGGCCUCUCUGCCCUGCAGCGGCAAGCCUGGAGUGCUGUGAGGGAGGAGAUCCUGAGAGCAGGUGGGGCAGCGGCCGCCUCACUGGGGUUGAUGGAGAGUGCUGUGGUGGCUCUCUCCCUGGAAGACUGCAAUGCACCAGCUGAUCUGGCAGACACCCUUAAUGCUGUCAGACUGGGAGGAGGAGAUGGGCCCUGUCUGAGAUACUAUGACAAGGUACAGUAUGGGAUGUUUGUGGUACUGUAAUUGUGGAUGACAACUACUACAAUACAGUACAGUGAUGCCGUAGUGAAUCAACUGGAUUCAUCAGGUUACCGGAUGAGGAUAUGGACUUGAUUUUUGGUACUGACAUAAAUAUACCCUAGACAAUGGAGUGAAAUCAAUUUUUCAAUAUUGAAUCAAAUUGUAAGUGGAUCUUUACUGCACAUCAGACAUACGUAAUUGCACCAAACAAAAUUCAGUUUAUUAACUCACUGACACAAGACUUGAAAACAUAGGUUCCUCUUCCUCUUUUUCUACAGGUGGUGAACCUGGUGGUAU